UCAUCCCUGGGGUGUUGGCCAGCCGGAGAUGUCCCUGAGCCGAUACUCCUGUACCAGGAGGCUACGCGCUGAUACCAGUGUGCAUGUCCGCAUGACGGAAAGCCUGAGGUAUCGCCGUAAUCUCCGCCUUGAACUUUCGGGUUCAAGGGCUAACCCGGCAGCGGCACUCUGGGGACCCU
Molecule: non-coding RNA, 179 nt
Filed under: Halopseudomonas oceani
Lineage: Bacteria; Pseudomonadati; Pseudomonadota; Gammaproteobacteria; Pseudomonadales; Pseudomonadaceae
Description: Pseudomonas oceani 6S RNA
Rfam family: 6S / SsrS RNA
About the family: E. coli 6S RNA was the first non coding RNA to be sequenced, but its function was unknown until recently. It consists of 184 nucleotides that fold into an extended hairpin structure with a large single-stranded internal bulge. The 6S RNA specifically associates with RNA polymerase holoenzyme containing the sigma70 specificity factor.
Source: RNAcentral